GAUGAACGCUGACAGAAUGCUUAACACAUGCCAGUCUUUGGCGAAGCUGUGCUUGCACCGCCUAGCCAAGGCGGACGGGUGAGUAACGCGUAAGGAACUUGCCCUGCAGUCAGGGAUAACAGACGGAAACGACUGAUAAGACCUGGUAAAGUCAGGCGGACUCAUGUCCAGCCUGAUGAAAAGAGAUGCUGCAGGAGAGCCUUGCGUCCUAUUAGCUUGUUGGUGGGGUAACGGCCCACCAAGGCGAUGAUAGGUAGCCGGCCUGAGAGGGUGGACGGCCACAAGGGGACUGAGAUACGGCCCUUACUCCUACGGGAGGCAGCAGUGGGGAAUAGUGGACAAUGGGGGCAACCCUGAUCCAGCAAUUCUGUGUGCACGAUGAAGGCUUUCGGAUUGUAAAGUGCUUUCAGCAGGGAAGAAAAAAUGACGGUACCUGCAGAAGAAGCGACGGCUAAAUACGU
RNAcentral lists this ribosomal RNA (461 nucleotides) under uncultured bacterium. RNAcentral's name for it is "partial 16S ribosomal RNA". It matches the Rfam family "Bacterial small subunit ribosomal RNA", at positions 28 to 506 of the family's 1533-position model. The record is from RNAcentral.